GAUAAGUAUAUACUAAAGGAGUUCGUUUGAUAAUCAAAAGAAGUGAUUGGGGAAACUGGUGACCUGCCCGAAACGCUGCGCAUAAUGUUGCAGGCGGGGAUUCCAGUACAGUGCCGCUACGGUAAGUUCACGACGUUAUGUCGGGAACAAGUCCGAAUACCAAUCAUUUUAUUAGUCCCGAG
Molecule: non-coding RNA, 182 nt
Filed under: Candidatus Nomuraibacteriota
Lineage: Bacteria
Source: RNAcentral